AUUGAACGCUGGCGGCACGCUUAACACAUGCAAGUCGAGCGGUAACAUGGGUAGUAGCAAUACUAUCUGAUGACGAGCGGCGGACGGGUGAGUAACACGUAGGAACUUGCCCAGUAGUGGGGGACAACCAAGGGAAACUUUGGCUAAUACCGCAUAUACUCGAGAGAGGAAAGCUGCCAGCAAUGGUGGCGCUAUUGGAGAGGCCUGCGUCCGAUUAGCUAGUUGGUGAGGUAAUAGCUUACCAAGGCGAGGAUCGGUAACUGGUCUGAGAGGACGAGCAGGCACACUGGGACUGAGACACGGCCCAGCCUCCUACGGGAGGUAGCAGUGGGGAAUCUUGGACAAUGGGGGCAACCCUGAUCCAGCGAUGCCGCGUGAGUGAAGAAGGCCUUCGGGUCGUAAAGCUCUUUAGGCUGGGAAGAAGGUUAGUAGUUUAAGAGAUAACUAGCUUGACUGUACCAGCAGAAUAAGCACCGGCAAACUCUGUGCCAGCAGCCGCGGUAA
This 504-nucleotide ribosomal RNA is filed under the name uncultured bacterium. RNAcentral's name for it is "partial 16S ribosomal RNA". It matches the Rfam family "Bacterial small subunit ribosomal RNA", at positions 30 to 523 of the family's 1533-position model. The record is from RNAcentral.